GUGAGUAACGCGUGGGAACAUACCUUUUGGUUCGGAACAACCCAGGGAAACUUGGGCUAAUACCGGAUAAGCCCUUACGGGGAAAGAUUUAUCGCCGAAAGAUUGGCCCGCGUCUGAUUAGCUAGUUGGUGAGGUAAUGGCUCACCAAGGCGACGAUCAGUAGCUGGUCUGAGAGGAUGAUCAGCCACAUUGGGACUGAGACACGGCCCAAACUCCUACGGGAGGCAGCAGUGGGGAAUAUUGGACAAUGGGCGCAAGCCUGAUCCAGCCAUGCCGCGUGAGUGAUGAAGGCCCUAGGGUUGUAAAGCUCUUUUGUGCGGGAAGAUAAUGACGGUACCGCAAGAAUAAGCCCCGGCUAACUUCGUGCCAGCAGCCGCGGUAAUACGAAGGGGGCUAGCGUUGCUCGGAAUCACUGGGCGUAAAGGGUGCGUAGGCGGGUCUUUAAGUCAGGGGUGAAAUCCUGGAGCUCAACUCCAGAACUGCCUUUGAUACUGAAGAUCUUGAGUUCGGGAGAGGUGAGUGGAACUGCGAGUGUAGAGGUGAAAUUCGUAGAUAUUCGCAAGAACACCAGUGGCGAAGGCGGCUCACUGGCCCGAUACUGACGCUG
RNAcentral lists this ribosomal RNA (607 nucleotides) under Bradyrhizobium sp. Its description in RNAcentral is "bacterial SSU rRNA". It matches the Rfam family "Bacterial small subunit ribosomal RNA", at positions 106 to 748 of the family's 1533-position model. The record is from RNAcentral. Lineage: Bacteria; Pseudomonadati; Pseudomonadota; Alphaproteobacteria; Hyphomicrobiales; Nitrobacteraceae.